GCUUCGGCUGGAUUAUUUUUAUCACCCUUGUCUUUUGCGCACUUGUUGUUUCCUGGGCGGGUUCGCCCGCCACCAGGACCACACCAUAAACCUUUUUUAUGCAGUUGCAAUCAGCGUCAGUAUAACAAAUGUAAAUCAUUUACAACUUUCAACAACGGAUCUCUUGGUUCUGGCAUCGAUGAAGAACGCAGCGAAAUGCGAUACGUAGUGUGAAUUGCAGAAUUCAGUGAAUCAUCGAAUCUUUGAACGCACAUUGCGCCCUUUGGUAUUCCAAAGGGCAUGCCUGUUCGAGCGUCAUUUGUACCCUCAAGCUUUGCUUGGUGUUGGGCGUCUUUUGUCUUUGGCCUCGCCCAAAGACUCGCCUUAAAACGAUUGGCAGCCGGCCUACUGGUUUCGCAGCGCAGCACAUUUUUGCGCUUGCAAUCAGCAAAAAGGACGGCAAUCCAUCAAGACUACAUUUUUACGUUUGACCUCGGAUCAGGUAGGGAUACCCGCUGAACUUAAGCAUAUCAAUAAGCGGAGGAA
RNAcentral lists this ribosomal RNA (525 nucleotides) under Curvularia aeria. RNAcentral's name for it is "eukaryotic LSU rRNA". The stretch from base 144 to 297 matches the Rfam family "5.8S ribosomal RNA". The record is from RNAcentral. Lineage: Eukaryota; Fungi; Ascomycota; Dothideomycetes; Pleosporales; Pleosporaceae.